RNAcentral lists this ribosomal RNA (367 nucleotides) under uncultured bacterium. Its description in RNAcentral is "bacterial SSU rRNA". It matches the Rfam family "Bacterial small subunit ribosomal RNA", at positions 524 to 898 of the family's 1533-position model. The record is from RNAcentral.
UACGUAGGGGGCGAGCGUUAUCCGGAUUUAUUGGGCGUAAAGCGUGUGUAGGUGGUUUAUUAAGUAUAAAAUUAAAGCCCGGAGCUUAACUCCGGUUCGUUUUAUAAACUGGUAGACUUGAGUAUGGUAGAGGCAAAUGGAAUUUCUAGUGUAGCGGUAAAAUGCGUAGAUAUUAGAAGGAACACCGGUGGCGAAGGCGAUUUGCUGGGCCAUUACUGACACUGAGACACGAAAGCGUGGGGAGCAAAUAGGAUUAGAUACCCUAGUAGUCCACGCCGUAAACGAUGAGUACUAAGUGUUGGGAUUUCCCAGUGCUGAAGUUAACACAUUAAGUACUCCGCCUGAGUAGUACGGUCGCAAGGCUGAA